RNAcentral lists this ribosomal RNA (465 nucleotides) under uncultured Klebsiella sp. RNAcentral's name for it is "bacterial SSU rRNA". It matches the Rfam family "Bacterial small subunit ribosomal RNA", at positions 338 to 795 of the family's 1533-position model. Lineage: Bacteria; Pseudomonadati; Pseudomonadota; Gammaproteobacteria; Enterobacterales; Enterobacteriaceae. The record is from RNAcentral.
CCUACGGGCGGCAGCAGUGGGGAAUAUUGCACAAUGGGCGCAAGCCUGAUGCAGCCAUGCCGCGUGUGUGAAGAAGGCCUUCGGGUUGUAAAGCACUUUCAGCGGGGAGGAAGGCGGUGAGGUUAAUAACCUCAUCGAUUGACGUUACCCGCAGAAGAAGCACCGGCUAACUCCGUGCCAGCAGCCGCGGUAAUACGGAGGGUGCAAGCGUUAAUCGGAAUUACUGGGCGUAAAGCGCACGCAGGCGGUCUGUCAAGUCGGAUGUGAAAUCCCCGGGCUCAACCUGGGAACUGCAUUCGAAACUGGCAGGCUAGAGUCUUGUAGAGGGGGGUAGAAUUCCAGGUGUAGCGGUGAAAUGCGUAGAGAUCUGGAGGAAUACCGGUGGCGAAGGCGGCCCCCUGGACAAAGACUGACGCUCAGGUGCGAAAGCCUGGGGAGCAAACAGGAUUAGAUACCCUUGUAGUC